CAGCCGCCGCGGGAAUACGAGGGGGGCAAGCGUUGUUCGGAAUUAUUGGGCGCAAAGGGUGCGUAGGCGGCUUGACAAGUCUUGUGUGAAAUCUAUGGGCUCAACCCAUAGUCUGCACGGGAAACUGUCGGGCUUGAGAAUGGGAGAGGUGAGUGGAAUUUCCGGUGUAGCGGUGAAAUGCGUAGAUAUCGGAAGGAACACCUGUGGCGAAAGCGGCUCACUGGACCAUUCCUGACGCUGAUGCACGAAAGCUAGGGGAGCAAACAGGAUUAGAUACCCCGGUAGUCCCUGUCUCUUAUAC
Molecule: ribosomal RNA, 301 nt
Filed under: uncultured bacterium
Lineage: Bacteria
Description: partial 16S ribosomal RNA
Rfam family: Bacterial small subunit ribosomal RNA
Source: RNAcentral